Molecule: ribosomal RNA, 253 nt
Filed under: uncultured bacterium
Lineage: Bacteria
Description: partial 16S ribosomal RNA
Rfam family: Bacterial small subunit ribosomal RNA
Source: RNAcentral
UACAGAGGGUGCGAGCGUUGUUCGGAAUUAUUGGGCGCAAAGCGCUUGUAGGCGGCUUGUUAAGUUCCGUGUGAAAUCCCCAGGCUUAACCUGGGAAGUGCGCGGAAAACUGGCGAGCUUGAAUGCCGGAGAGGGUCGCGGAAUUCCCGGUGUAGAGGUGAAAUUCGUAGAUAUUCGGAAGAACACCAGUGGCGAAGGCGACUUACUGGACACAUACUGACGCUGAGGUGCGAAAGCGUGGGGAGCAAACAGG